CAAGGACCUGGGUGAGAUUCCCGGGUGGCUCUUCUGGCCGCCGAUCCGCCAGACAACG
Molecule: non-coding RNA, 58 nt
Filed under: Rhizobium sp. LC145
Lineage: Bacteria; Pseudomonadati; Pseudomonadota; Alphaproteobacteria; Hyphomicrobiales; Rhizobiaceae
Description: sul1 RNA
Rfam family: sul1 RNA
Source: Rfam by way of RNAcentral